Molecule: ribosomal RNA, 253 nt
Filed under: uncultured bacterium
Lineage: Bacteria
Description: partial 16S ribosomal RNA
Rfam family: Bacterial small subunit ribosomal RNA
Source: RNAcentral
UACGUAGGGGGCAAGCGUUGUCCGGAUUUAUUGGGCGUAAAGAGCUCGUAGGCGGUUCCGUAAGUCGGGUGUGAAAAAUCUGGGCUCAACCCAGUGGAGCACCCGAUACUGCGGUGACUCGAGUCCGGUAGGGGAGUGUGGAAUUCCUGGUGUAGCGGUGAAAUGCGCAGAUAUCAGGAGGAACACCGGUGGCGAAGGCGGAUCUCUGGGCCAUUACUGACGCUGAGGAGCGAAAGCGUGGGGAGCGAACAGG